Molecule: ribosomal RNA, 250 nt
Filed under: uncultured bacterium
Lineage: Bacteria
Description: partial 16S ribosomal RNA
Rfam family: Bacterial small subunit ribosomal RNA
Source: RNAcentral
UACGUAGGUGACCAGCGUUGUCCGGAUUUACUGGGCGUAAAGAGCGCGCAGGCGGUCGUUCAAGUCAAGUGUGAAAGCCCCCGGCUCAACUGGGGAGGGUCACUCGAUACUGAUCGACUUGAAGGCAGGAGAGGGAAGCGGAAUUCCCGGUGUAGUGGUGAAAUGCGUAGAUAUCGGGAGGAACACCAGUGGCGAAGGCGGCUUCCUGGCCUGUUCUUGACGCUGAGGUGCGAAAGCGUGGGGAGCAAAC